AGGGGAUGUGAGUUAGACACGAAAUAGCUCCCAGCUGCAAGAGGCCUUCUUCCAGAUGUACUGUACUGAAAAGCAACAGAGGAGAACCAGCUGCUUGGAUAACAAAUUGCAAAGGCUUUUUUGACACAAGCCACGUUGGCCUAUCUGAUCAAACAAAGAUAGAUUGCUCACUGCCAAUGAAUAGAAGCCUGCUAGAAAAGAAGAAAGGUGAGAUUGCUAUCUGGAUGAAUUUCUAUGGAAAAAUCUCUAAUGCCGAGGCAGAUUUAUACAUGAGAAAGCAGUUGUUGAAGAAUCCCAAGAAUGAAAGAACCGCUUGAUUGGAUAAUUUUUAUCUAGCUCAGCAUUUUGAUUCUAGCAGGAGCCAACUAGAUGUCCCUGAGUACUGAACAAAUGCAGAUGGAAAAUGAAGACCAAGUUCUUCAUUACCCACCAUCAUGAAUGAUUACCAUUAAUAAUCUGACAAGUUUUUGAAAGCCAAAUUAGAAAAUUUUCCCAACUUUAUCUGAUCAUCCUCAAGUUACCUUCUGUCUGCCUGUGUCUGUUUGAUUAUCUAUCUAUCUGUGUAUCUAUCUUACCUGUCAAUGUCAAAGUUUCCAGGUCUAUUUAAAAUAAUGCUGACGAUUCAGAACACAAAUUACCACUUAAAACAUCACAGCAUCAAAUACAGUUAGGUCUGAUUUUUUAAAAAUCAGAACAGCCCCACAGGAAAAGCACUUGACAAACAACUAAAUUUUGUCUCAAAAUGGAUGAAUUUUGUGUUCAGUUUACUUCCGUGUAUUAAUCAUGUGUGUAUUUGCACAUUUUGCUUUUUAACUAUAGAACAGAAGCCAGGAUGUGUAGCAAUUUAUAAUUAUAUUCUCUAUUUAUCCGGGAAGUUUUAGAGUGUUUUUACUUAUUUUAAUAAUUUUAACGUCCUACAAUGAAGGACUAUGUAACUUAUUUGGGUAAAUUGUAAUGGUAUAUUUUAUAUUGUAUGUUUCUGUGCUGUUGUAAACAACCUUGAGUCCAUUGGAGAAAGGUGAUAUAGGAAUUUCCCAAAUAAAUAAAUAAAUAAAAUGUUGAGAAAAUCCAUUGUAAAACCGAAACUAAGCUUCCUAUUCUUAUUUCAACGGAACCCUGCAUUCCAGAACACUCCAUGGUGUGUGUUAUAUUUUGAUCUAUAUUUACAAUCUAAUUUCAUUUGUAGGCCUGAUUCAUAUGUUUCUAUCGAGAAAUAGGGAACAAA
This is a long non-coding RNA of Anolis carolinensis (green anole), 1225 nucleotides long. RefSeq lists it as uncharacterized. Lineage: Eukaryota; Metazoa; Chordata; Lepidosauria; Squamata; Anolidae. The record is from RefSeq and is a predicted model, not a curated record. The transcript has 3 exons.